CACCGCGGUUAGACGAAUGACCCAAGUUGACAGAACACGGCGUAAAGGGUGGUUAGGGAAUAUAAUAACUAAAGCCGAACACCUUCCAAGCUGUUAUACGCUUAUGAAGAACUGAAGCACAACUACGAAAGUGGCUUUAAUUCACCUGAAUCCACGAAAGCUAAGAAA
RNAcentral lists this ribosomal RNA (168 nucleotides) under Coryphaena equiselis. Its description in RNAcentral is "partial small subunit ribosomal RNA". The record is from RNAcentral. Lineage: Eukaryota; Metazoa; Chordata; Actinopteri; Carangiformes; Coryphaenidae.